UGAGAAGAAAAAACCCCCAAAAAACUCUCGAUUCAAUUUAAUCAGCUGCGUUCAUCUUUGAAAUUCGCGCAAACGAUCGACACUUUCUCCCUCUAACAUUUCUCUCACAAGAACAGAGAUGGUGAAAGAUCCAGGUCUCUAACCUGAUAUCAACAAGAAAGCCAGAGGUAAUUCAUCAGUUUUUCAGCCUAUUUUUAUAACCAUUUAUCUGCACGUUUGUUGACUUGCAUAUGAAUAUUCGGUUUCUGAUUUUGUGUAAUGUUCGUAUGUGCAACGAGUGUGUGUGUGUGUUGUUUUGCAUCUGUUGAUUAUUGUAAAAUCGGUGUUUUCACAUAUGUAUUUCCACUUGUGUACGCCAAAUGCGCCUCACAUGUCUCUUGCCUCGGCUUCGUGGACCCUAUUAGCGUGUGGUGCUUUAUAAAACACACCUUGCAUCAAAUGUGUCCUGCAAAAUUUAGGAUUUCUGUAGCUUUAUCUCCAGUGAUCAUUCAAAGCUUAUUCUAAGAAGUGGUGAUGAAUUUCUUAUUAAGGGUCACGCGUGCCAAAUUUGUCCUUGAUAAAGCUCGAAGAUGGAUGUGGAAGGAACGAGGCACGACGACAGUUAACCGAAAGUAUAGGUGAGGUGGUUGGUGGAGUAAAAACUUCUUCAUUUUGUUGACGCGUUUCAUCAAUACGUUAUGGACAGAGUAAUAACCGCCUUACACAUUCGCAAAUGAAAAUGUUAUUAUCUUUCCUUACCAAUGUUCAUAUACGGGGUGUACUGUAUAUGUAGGUGUACCACAGUUCAUGGAACGAGUUAUGUGAAGGUUACAAUGAUCCGUGUUAAAGAUAGAACGAGUUAUCGGCUUUGUUUCUUUUUAUUAUAGUGGGCAUUGAUAGCAAGCCGGAUCAACAACAUACUUGGACUGGAUUUGGACUUCUAUUCCGUGCAGCAGACGUUAAGUAGUGGCGGAACAGUUGCUGCAAUCAAAGCUAGAUGUCACAAGGAAGUUGAUCGCAUCGACAAACAAUUUGAUGAUUGCAUGGCGUUCCUCCUCAGGGUUUUAUCUUUCAAGCUUAACGUGGGUCAAUUUCCACAUUUGGCGGAUUUAGUUACGAGAAUUAAUUACAACAACUUUUACAUGUCCGACACUGGUAACUUGAUCACCGCUCCUGCGUCGGACUCUGUAAAUUUUAAGUUGGCCAAGACUGUAUCAGUUUGAAUAGCGAAAAGAUGAGGGUUUGUUUAGUUUCAAACCUAGGCUG
Helianthus annuus (common sunflower) is the source of this 1245-nucleotide long non-coding RNA. RefSeq lists it as uncharacterized. NCBI's taxonomy places the organism in Eukaryota, Viridiplantae, Streptophyta, Magnoliopsida, Asterales, Asteraceae. The transcript is spliced from 5 exons. The record is from RefSeq and is a predicted model, not a curated record.